RNAcentral lists this long non-coding RNA (289 nucleotides) under Panax ginseng (ginseng). Its description in RNAcentral is "long non-coding RNA (PGIN_LNC009905)". The record is from RNAcentral. Lineage: Eukaryota; Viridiplantae; Streptophyta; Magnoliopsida; Apiales; Araliaceae.
CGGGAAUCAGAUCCGGUGUCAGAUCUGUGUCAAGAUCUGGUUAUGUAUCAAAAAAAAAAUACUUCCUGUUCCUCUUGUUUUCUACCUCUUUUCAAACGGGAAUUGGAUCUGUACCAACAAAAAAUAUUUUAUCUUCUUCCUCUACCUCUUGUUUUCUACCUCUUUUCCUUUUCAGUUGAACAUUCAAACUUAUUUCCCUUUUUCUGUACCACUCUUUUUCAUUUUCUCAAUGGUAAUUUUGAGCAUACAUGCGCGGCCAAAUAUUAGCCUUAAAGCAUUUUUGAAGCAA